GAUGAACGCUAGCGGGAUGCUUUACACAUGCAAGUCGAGCGGAAAGGUCUCUUCGGAGAUACUCGAGCGGCAAACGGCUGAGUAAUGCAUAGGAAUUUUGCUUUAGUGGAGGAUAGCUUACCGAAAGGUUUGGUAAUACUGCAUGUGGACUACGGUCUAAAGCCUUCGGGCGCUAAAGUCGAAGCCUAUGUCCCAUCAGAUAGUUGGUAGGGUAAUGGCUUACCAAGUCUAAGACGGGUAGCUGGUCUGAGAGGAUGAUCAGCCAGACUGGAACUGCGACACGGUCCAGACACCUACGGGUGGCAGCAGUGGGGAAUAUUGCGCAAUGGGGGCAACCCUGACGCAGCAAUCCCGCGUGGAGGAAGACGGCCUUUAGGUUGUAAACUCCUGUGGUAAACUAAUAAUUAUGAAUGGUUUUCUAGAAAGAGGUUGCUAACUCUG
RNAcentral lists this ribosomal RNA (441 nucleotides) under uncultured bacterium. Its description in RNAcentral is "bacterial SSU rRNA". It matches the Rfam family "Bacterial small subunit ribosomal RNA", at positions 28 to 505 of the family's 1533-position model. The record is from RNAcentral.